GAUGAAGAACGCAGCGAAAUGCGAUAAGUAGUGUGAAUUGCAGAAUUCAGUGAAUCAUCGAAUCUUUGAACGCACAUUGCGCCCUUUGGUAUUCCAAAGGGCAUGCCUGUUCGAGCGUCAUUUGUACCCUCAAGCUUUGCUUGGUGUUGGGCGUCUUGUCUCCAGUUCGAUGGAGACUCGCCUUAAAGUAAUUGGCAGCCGGCCUACUGGUUUCGGAGCGCAGCACAAGUCGCGCUCUCUUCCAGCCAAGGUCAGCAUCCACAAAGCCUUUUUUCAACUUUUGACCUCGGAUCAGGUAGGGAUACCCGCUGAACUUAAGCAUAUCAAUAAGCGGAGGA
This 338-nucleotide unclassified non-coding RNA is filed under the name soil metagenome. RNAcentral describes it as "partial contains 5.8S ribosomal RNA, internal transcribed spacer 2, and large subunit ribosomal RNA". The stretch from base 1 to 120 matches the Rfam family "5.8S ribosomal RNA", at positions 35 to 154 of the family's 154-position model. The record is from RNAcentral.